Molecule: non-coding RNA, 179 nt
Filed under: Chryseobacterium aquaeductus
Lineage: Bacteria; Pseudomonadati; Bacteroidota; Flavobacteriia; Flavobacteriales; Weeksellaceae
Source: RNAcentral
UAUAUUUGCAAAAAUUUUGGUUUCCAAGGUAUUGGAAUUAAUAGGGAAUUGGGUGGAAAUCCCAAGCUGUCCCCGCAACUGUAAAUCGCAUCAAAAUUUUCUACAAAUAAACCACUGCCAACGCGGGAAGGUGUAGAAAAGCGAAAGUCAGGAGACCUGCCAGAUUUUAACAAUAAUAA